Xenopus tropicalis (tropical clawed frog) is the source of this 103-nucleotide small nuclear RNA. Its record names the gene U2. It matches the Rfam family "U2 spliceosomal RNA". From Rfam's summary of the family: U2 is a small nuclear RNA (snRNA) component of the spliceosome (involved in pre-mRNA splicing). Complementary binding between U2 snRNA (in an area lying towards the 5' end but 3' to hairpin I) and the branchpoint sequence (BPS) of the intron results the bulging out of an unpaired adenosine, on the BPS, which initiates a nucleophilic attack at the intronic 5' splice site, thus starting the first of two transesterification reactions that mediate splicing. Lineage: Eukaryota; Metazoa; Chordata; Amphibia; Anura; Pipidae. The record is from Ensembl.
CCCACUUCUCGGCCUUUUGGCUAAGAUCAAAUGUAGUAUUUGUUCUUAAGGGAGAGAGGUCCUAGACACUCCUGAUGGGGCAGAUUAGGAAGCUUGAUCCUCU